CAGUAGCCGCGGAAAUACAGAGGGUGCAAGCGUUAAUCGGAAUUACUGGGCGUAAAGCGCGCGUAGGUGGUUUGUUAAGUUGGAUGUGAAAUCCCCGGGCUCAACCUGGGAACUGCAUCCAAAACUGGCAAGCUAGAGUAUGGUAGAGGGUGGUGGAAUUUCCUGUGUAGCGGUGAAAUGCGUAGAUAUAGGAAGGAACACCAGUGGCGAAGGCGACCACCUGGACUGAUACUGACACUGAGGUGCGAAAGCGUGGGGAGCAAACAGGAUUAGAUACCCCAGUAGUCCCUGUCUCUUAUAA
This 301-nucleotide ribosomal RNA is filed under the name uncultured bacterium. RNAcentral describes it as "partial 16S ribosomal RNA". It matches the Rfam family "Bacterial small subunit ribosomal RNA", at positions 509 to 809 of the family's 1533-position model. The record is from RNAcentral.